Mycena metata is the source of this 93-nucleotide non-coding RNA. The record is from the annotation of a GenBank genome assembly. NCBI's taxonomy places the organism in Eukaryota, Fungi, Basidiomycota, Agaricomycetes, Agaricales, Mycenaceae.
GACUCCAUAGUAUAUGGUAUGUGUACGCUACUCUUGAUUACUCAAGGAAGUUCAAUUCAGCGGAAGAACCCGGUUCGAUUCCGGGCGGGGUCU